GAGGCAAAUGUCUCGUCGUUCGGAGAAGACGUAGCGUGUGUUACAAUCUCAACAAUGACAAUAACGAUCUAACAUGGGAUCUACAAAAAAUAUAAAAAUUCGAAUUUUCGUUGAUCGAUCAUUUAUUGAGCGCUCAAAAUUAAUCUGACCCGGGUGCUACAGGCUACUGCUUUGUCUCUCUCGUCCUCGGCAUAGCAUAAUCGCUCGAGGUAAAGUUAGCAGAGAAGAAGAAAGCUGUGUAGCGAAUCUCGUUCACGGACAGCACUGGAUUAAUGAUUCUAUCUCAUCAAAUUAUCCCAUCCCUCUUUUUUUUCUUACGAUAUAGGUCGAAUGAUUUUUAUAAGAUGGUAUCGAUGUAACAAUUAAUAUUACUCUGUCUUCUUGUUUAGAACUUCUUUUAAUCGACAGGAACGUGAAUAAACAUGCAUUACAUGUAUACAGCUUUGAGUGAUCGGUGUCUUAUGAUAACAUUGUCAAAUAAAUGAAGAACGAAGGACAUGAAUCGCUUGAAAAUUUGAAUCGAUUGACUAGAAACAGACAUGCAAGAAAGUAAUAAAAUAACACUUGAUCGCUAUUAUCAUCGUAAAAUUAUAACUUUUUGUAAGGCAUUAUAUCUAUAUAUAUAUAUAUAUAUAUUAAAAUAUUUCUUUUUAAAUUUAUGAUAUUUUUUUUAGAUUAAACAAUAUAUGUUUAUUAUCAAAUUAAGUAAUUAUCAAUUCGAAAGAUCCUACAGAUUCUUCUAAGGCAAAGACUACAAUCGAUUAGAAUGCACGCUUAUACACCGAGAAAGCUAGCGAUUGAUUCUAUACAAAUGAAAGCAUAUG
This is a long non-coding RNA of Bombus pascuorum, 824 nucleotides long. RefSeq lists it as uncharacterized. Lineage: Eukaryota; Metazoa; Arthropoda; Insecta; Hymenoptera; Apidae. The record is from RefSeq and is a predicted model, not a curated record. The transcript has 3 exons.